This 654-nucleotide ribosomal RNA is filed under the name uncultured Actinomycetes bacterium. Its description in RNAcentral is "bacterial SSU rRNA". It matches the Rfam family "Bacterial small subunit ribosomal RNA", at positions 232 to 886 of the family's 1533-position model. Lineage: Bacteria; Bacillati; Actinomycetota; Actinomycetes. The record is from RNAcentral.
CGCGGCCUAUCAGCUUGUUGGCGAGGUAACGGCUCACCAAGGCGAUGACGGGUAGCUGGUCUGAGAGGAUGGCCAGCCACAUUGGGACUGAGAGACGGCCCAGACUCCUACGGGAGGCAGCAGUGGGGAAUCUUGCGCAAUGGCCGAAAGGCUGACGCAGCGACGCCGCGUGGAGGAUGACGCCCUUCGGGGUGUAAACUCCUGUUGCCCGGGACGAAUGCCUGUUUCGACAGGAGUGACGGUACCGGGUGAGGAAGCGCCGGCUAACUCUGUGCCAGCAGCCGCGGUAAUACAGAGGGUGCGAGCGUUGUCCGGAAUCACUGGGCGUAAAGGGCGCGUAGGCGGUCGGGUAAGCGUGCGGUGAAAGUCCGGGGCUCAACCCCGGAUCGGCCAUGCGAACUGUCCGACUGGAGCACGGUAGAGGCACAUGGAAUUCCGGGUGUAGCGGUGGAAUGCGUAGAGAUCCGGAAGAACACCGGUGGCGAAGGCGGUGUGCUGGGCCGUAGCUGACGCUGAGGCGCGACAGCGUGGGGAGCAAACAGGAUUAGAUACCCUGGUAGUCCACGCCGUAAACGAUGGGCACUAGGUCCUUGGGGGAGCGACCCCGUGAGGGCCGGCGCUAACGCAUUAAGUGCCCCGCCUGGGGAGUACGGA